Molecule: long non-coding RNA, 423 nt
Organism: Ictidomys tridecemlineatus (thirteen-lined ground squirrel)
Lineage: Eukaryota; Metazoa; Chordata; Mammalia; Rodentia; Sciuridae
Source: RefSeq, a predicted model, not a curated record
AGCUUCCCUGUUCUUUUGGCUGUCACGAGGUUACCAGAUCUGCUCCUCUCUGCUGUGAUGCUCUGCCUCCUCAGCAAGGAGCCAGCUGAUCAAAGACUGAACCUUUUGAAACUCUCUGAUGACAGGAUGCCAACAUAUGGAAAAGUCAACAUGGCAAGGAACUAUAGGAAAACUCUAGUUUCUGAGGACAGAUUCCAGCUGAUAGCCAGAAAGUAGCUGAGGACCUCAGUCUAACAAUCCUCAAAGAACUAUAUCCUGCCAACGACCAUAUGAGCCUAGAAGUCGGUCCUUCCCCAGUCAAGCCUCAGAUGACUCCCAGUCUUGGCCCACACCUUGAUUGGAGUCUUGUAAGAGCUCUUAAGUAGAAGAUCCAGGGCCCCUGUCCCUGGAACUUUGAAAUAAUAAAUACAUGUUUUCAAGCAA